RNAcentral lists this transfer RNA (72 nucleotides) under Camelus bactrianus (Bactrian camel). It matches the Rfam family "tRNA". From Rfam's summary of the family: Transfer RNA (tRNA) molecules are approximately 80 nucleotides in length. Their secondary structure includes four short double-helical elements and three loops (D, anti-codon, and T loops). Further hydrogen bonds mediate the characteristic L-shaped molecular structure. tRNAs have two regions of fundamental functional importance: the anti-codon, which is responsible for specific mRNA codon recognition, and the 3' end, to which the tRNAs corresponding amino acid is attached (by aminoacyl-tRNA synthetases). tRNAs cope with the degeneracy of the genetic code in two manners: having more than one tRNA (with a specific anti-codon) for a particular amino acid; and 'wobble' base-pairing, i.e. permitting non-standard base-pairing at the 3rd anti-codon position. The record is from Rfam by way of RNAcentral. Lineage: Eukaryota; Metazoa; Chordata; Mammalia; Artiodactyla; Camelidae. RNAcentral also lists the same sequence under 3 other names.
GAGGGUAUAGCUCGGUGGUAGAGUGCGUGCUCAUCAUGCAUGAGGUCUUGGGGUCAAUCCCCAGUACCUCUA